UAAGCGGAGGAAAAGAAACUAACAAGGAUUCCCCUAGUAACUGCGAGUGAAGCGGGAAAAGCUCAAAUUUAAAAUCUGGUGGUCUUUGGCCAUCCGAGUUGUAAUUUAGAGAAGCGUCUUCCGCGCUGGACCGUGCACAAGUCUCCUGGAAUGGAGCGUCAUAGAGGGUGAGAAUCCCGUCUUUGGCAUGGACACACCAGGGCUUUUGUGAUGCGCUCUCGAAGAGUCGAGUCGUUUGGGAAUGCAGCUCAAAAUGGGUGGUGAACUCCAUCUAAAGCUAAAUAUUGGCGAGAGACCGAUAGCGAACAAGUACCGUGAGGGAAAGAUGAAAAGCACUUUGGAAAGAGAGUGAAACAGUACGUGAAAUUGUUGAAAGGGAAACGCUUGAAGUCAGUCACGUCGACCGAGACUCAGCCUUGCCUCGGCUUGGUGUACUUCUCGGCUGACGGGUCAGCAUCAAUUUUGCCCCUUGGAUAAUGGCGAGGGAAAUGUGACACCUUUAUGGUGUGUUAUAGUCUCUCGUCGCAUGCAAGGGUUGGGAUUGAGGAACUCAGCACGCGCCCUUUGGGUGUCGGGGCUUUGCCCACGAUACGUGCUUAGGAUGUUGGCAUAAUGGCUUUAAACGACC
RNAcentral lists this ribosomal RNA (628 nucleotides) under uncultured Russulaceae. RNAcentral's name for it is "LSU rRNA". It matches the Rfam family "Eukaryotic large subunit ribosomal RNA", at positions 47 to 649 of the family's 3401-position model. The record is from RNAcentral. Lineage: Eukaryota; Fungi; Basidiomycota; Agaricomycetes; Russulales; Russulaceae.